UACGAAGGGGGCUAGCGUUGUUCGGAUUUACUGGGCGUAAAGGGCGCGUAGGCGGAUUUUUAAGUCGGGGGUGAAAUCCCGGAGCUCAACUCCGGAACUGCCUUCGAUACUGAAAGUCUGGAGCACGGUAGAGGUGAGUGGAAUUCCGAGUGUAGAGGUGAAAUUCGUAGAUAUUCGGAGGAACACCAGUGGCGAAGGCGGCUCACUGGACCGUUGCUGACGCUGAGGCGAGAAAGCGUGGGGAGCAAACAGG
RNAcentral lists this ribosomal RNA (253 nucleotides) under uncultured bacterium. RNAcentral describes it as "partial 16S ribosomal RNA". It matches the Rfam family "Bacterial small subunit ribosomal RNA", at positions 524 to 776 of the family's 1533-position model. The record is from RNAcentral.